UAACACGUAUCCAACCUGCCGUCUACUCUUGGACAGCCUUCUGAAAGGAAGAUUAAUACAAGAUGGCAUCAUGAGUCCGCAUGUUCACAUGAUUAAGGGUAUUCCGGUAGACGAUGGGGAUGCGUUCCAUUAGAUAGUAGGCGGGGUAACGGCCCACCUAGUCUUCGAUGGAUAGGGGUUCUGAGAGGAAGGUCCCCCACAUUGGAACUGAGACACGGUCCAAACUCCUACGGGAGGCAGCAGUGAGGAAUAUUGGUCAAUGGGCGAGAGCCUGAACCAGCCAAGUAGCGUGAAGGAUGACUGCCCUAUGGGUUGUAAACUUCUUUUAUAAAGGAAUAAAGUUGGGUAUGGAUACCCGUUUGCAUGUACUUUAUGAAUAAGGAUCGGCUAACUCCGUGCCAGCAGCCGCGGUAAUACGGAGGAUCCGAGCGUUAUCCGGAUUUAUUGGGUUUAAAGGGAGCGUAGAUGGAUGUUUAAGUCAGUUGUGAAAGUUUGCGGCUCAACCGUAAAAUUGCAGUUGAUACUGGAUAUCUUGAGUGCAGUUGAGGCAGGCGGAAUUCGUGGUGUAGCGGUGAAAUGCUUAGAUAUCACGAAGAACUCCGAUUGCGAAGGCAGCCUGCUAAGCUGCAACUGACAUUGAGGCUCGAAAGUGUGGGUAUCAAACAGGAUUAGAUACCCUGGUAGUCCACACGGUAAACGAUGAAUACUCGCUGU
Molecule: ribosomal RNA, 714 nt
Filed under: uncultured bacterium
Lineage: Bacteria
Description: bacterial SSU rRNA
Rfam family: Bacterial small subunit ribosomal RNA
Source: RNAcentral